RNAcentral lists this transfer RNA (85 nucleotides) under Felis catus (domestic cat). It matches the Rfam family "tRNA". From Rfam's summary of the family: Transfer RNA (tRNA) molecules are approximately 80 nucleotides in length. Their secondary structure includes four short double-helical elements and three loops (D, anti-codon, and T loops). Further hydrogen bonds mediate the characteristic L-shaped molecular structure. tRNAs have two regions of fundamental functional importance: the anti-codon, which is responsible for specific mRNA codon recognition, and the 3' end, to which the tRNAs corresponding amino acid is attached (by aminoacyl-tRNA synthetases). tRNAs cope with the degeneracy of the genetic code in two manners: having more than one tRNA (with a specific anti-codon) for a particular amino acid; and 'wobble' base-pairing, i.e. permitting non-standard base-pairing at the 3rd anti-codon position. RNAcentral also lists the same sequence under 1 other name. Lineage: Eukaryota; Metazoa; Chordata; Mammalia; Carnivora; Felidae. The record is from Rfam by way of RNAcentral.
GCCUGGGUGGCUCAGUCAGUUAAGCAACUGACUUCGGCUCAGGUCAUGAUCUCACGGUUCGUGGGUUCAAGCCCCACAUCGGGCU